RNAcentral lists this ribosomal RNA (425 nucleotides) under uncultured bacterium. Its description in RNAcentral is "bacterial SSU rRNA". It matches the Rfam family "Bacterial small subunit ribosomal RNA", at positions 354 to 796 of the family's 1533-position model. The record is from RNAcentral.
GUGGGGAAUAUUGGACAAUGGGCGCAAGCCUGAUCCAGCCAUGCCGCGUGAGUGAUGAAGGCCUUAGGGUUGUAAAGCUCUUUCACCGGUGAAGAUAAUGACGGUAACCGGAGAAGAAGCCCCGGCUAACUUCGUGCCAGCAGCCGCGGUAAUACGAAGGGGGCUAGCGUUGUUCGGAAUUACUGGGCGUAAAGCGCACGUAGGCUGAUAUUUAAGUCAGGGGUGAAAUCCCGGGGCUCAACCCCGGAACUGCCUUUGAUACUGGGUAUCUUGAGUAUGGAAGAGGUCAGUGGAAUUGCGAGUGUAGAGGUGAAAUUCGUAGAUAUUCGCAGGAACACCAGUGGCGAAGGCGGCUGACUGGUCCAUUACUGACGCUGAGGUGCGAAAGCGUGGGGAGCAAACAGGAUUAGAUACCCCAGUAGUCC